UGGGGAAUCUUCCGCAAUGGACGAAAGUCUGACGGAGCAACGCCGCGUGAGUGAUGAAGGUCUUCGGAUUGUAAAACUCUGUUGUUAGGGACGAAAGCACCGUGUUCGAACAGGUCAUGGUGUUGACGGUACCUAACGAGGAAGCCACGGCUAACUACGUGCCAGCAGCCGCGGUAAUACGUAGGUGGCAAGCGUUGUCCGGAAUUAUUGGGCGUAAAGAGCAUGUAGGCGGGCUUUUAAGUCUGACGUGAAAAUGCGGGGCUUAACCCCGUAUGGCGUUGGAUACUGGAAGUCUUGAGUGCAGGAGAGGAAAGGGGAAUUCCCAGUGUAGCGGUGAAAUGCGUAGAUAUUGGGAGGAACACCAGUGGCGAAGGCGCCUUUCUGGACUGUGUCUGACGCUGAGAUGCGAAAGCCAGGGUAGCAAACGGG
RNAcentral lists this ribosomal RNA (429 nucleotides) under uncultured Acidaminococcus sp. RNAcentral describes it as "bacterial SSU rRNA". It matches the Rfam family "Bacterial small subunit ribosomal RNA", at positions 355 to 776 of the family's 1533-position model. Lineage: Bacteria; Bacillati; Bacillota; Negativicutes; Acidaminococcales; Acidaminococcaceae. The record is from RNAcentral.